UUUCCGUAGGUGAACCUGCGGAAGGAUCAUUCAUAAUAAGUGUUUUAUGGCACUUUUUUAAAUCCAUAUCCACCUUGUGUGCAAUGUCAGUGUUGAUUUUUCUCUCGAGAGGAUCAACCCCAAACAUCAACUAUAUCUCAACUCUUUGUCUGAAAAAUAUUAUGAAUAAAACAAUUCAAAAUACAACUUUCAACAACGGAUCUCUUGGCUCUG
Molecule: unclassified non-coding RNA, 213 nt
Filed under: plant metagenome
Description: partial contains small subunit ribosomal RNA, internal transcribed spacer 1, and 5.8S ribosomal RNA
Source: RNAcentral